RNAcentral lists this ribosomal RNA (247 nucleotides) under uncultured Comamonadaceae bacterium. RNAcentral describes it as "partial 16S ribosomal RNA". It matches the Rfam family "Bacterial small subunit ribosomal RNA", at positions 1 to 258 of the family's 1533-position model. Lineage: Bacteria; Pseudomonadati; Pseudomonadota; Betaproteobacteria; Burkholderiales; Comamonadaceae. The record is from RNAcentral.
CUCGGAGUUUGAUCCUGGCUCAGAUUGAACGCUGGCGGAAUGCUUUACACAUGCAAGUCGAACGGUAGAGGGGGCAACCCCUCGAGAGUGGCGAACGGGUGAGUAAUAUAUCGGAACGUGCCCAGUCGUGGGGGAUAACGUAGCGAAAGCUGUGCUAAUACCGCAUACGAUCUAAGGAUGAAAGCGGGGGAUCGCAAGACCUCGCGCGAUUGGAGCGGCCGAUAUCAGAUUAGGUAGUUGGUGAGGU